AUAAUAUCCUUGUUCCUGCUUUACUGUGAAACUGUGAAAAUACCGAUGACGAGUGUUAACAAAGUUGUUUAUUCGUCAAGAAACAUGUGCAGAAUUCAAAAUUUAAAACCCUCCUCUGCUGAACUGCCGGACACUGGAACGAAAGCAAUGGUCAGGAACAGCAGAACCCAGCGGUCUUCAACCGUCUCGUCAUCAGGAAACGCUACCAAAGGUUUGCAUCCCAGCUCAUUUCAGUUGUCGAUGAAUGGAAAAAUCUGGGUCUUUAUUAGUGGUUAACAGUUUUCAAGAGAGACGAAUCGUCGAAACAAAGAACAGCUAUGCAAGAAUCGGCAGGCUUAUUGUUA
RNAcentral lists this unclassified non-coding RNA (344 nucleotides) under Stegodyphus dumicola. Its description in RNAcentral is "uncharacterized LOC118192076, transcript variant X3". Lineage: Eukaryota; Metazoa; Arthropoda; Arachnida; Araneae; Eresidae. The record is from RNAcentral.